GCUUACGCCGGGGCAGCAGCCGUGGGAAGACGGAGGGUGCAAGGGGUAUUCGGAUUUAUUGGGGUUAAAGGGUUCGUAGGCGGGCUUAUAAGUCAGUGGUGAAAGCCGGCAGCUUAACUGUCGAACUGCCAUUGAUACUGUAAGUCUUGAGUGUAUUUGAAGUGGCUGGAAUAAGUAGUGUAGCGGUGAAAUGCAUAGAUAUUACUUAGAACACCAAUUGCGAAGGCAGGUCACUAAGAUACAACUGACGCUGAUGGACGAAAGCGUGGGGAGCGAACAGGAUUAGAUACCCCGGUAGUC
Molecule: ribosomal RNA, 300 nt
Filed under: uncultured Vulcanisaeta sp.
Lineage: Archaea; Thermoproteati; Thermoproteota; Thermoprotei; Thermoproteales; Thermoproteaceae
Description: bacterial SSU rRNA
Rfam family: Bacterial small subunit ribosomal RNA
Source: RNAcentral